Long non-coding RNA from Chinchilla lanigera (long-tailed chinchilla), 1224 nucleotides. RefSeq lists it as uncharacterized. The record is from RefSeq and is a predicted model, not a curated record. The transcript has 6 exons. Lineage: Eukaryota; Metazoa; Chordata; Mammalia; Rodentia; Chinchillidae.
CUAAAGUGACAGAAUGGCAGGAGGAAGAGGAACAGUUCUGAAUUCACCCUCUCAGGGCACAGAUCGGACCGGUGAGGGCUGGAGAGAGGAGGAGUCACAGAGUGUGCAUGGGGCCUUGGUGUCCCAGGUCUAAGUCACGGAGUUGCCCAGGUGGGGCUUGAGUUUGCCGUCCUCCUCCAUCAGCCUUCCCAGAAUCCUGGGAUUAUAGGUGUGCAGUCCAGUGGCAUUAUGUGCAUGGAUAAUGUUGUGCAAGCAUCGCUGCUGUCCAUUUGAAGGAUUUUUAUUUUCCAAACAGAAGUUUUGUGCUCACCAAAUAUGAGCUCUGCAGCUGCUGGUGACUUCUAUUCCAUCUUCUGAAUCUGGGAACCAGUCUAUCCUAGCACAUUUAUCCACGGCUGAGUACCUCAUCCUCACCAUCCAAUCACCUUGUAAAAGCCUCAGCUUUGACUGCACAAGAGUUUGGGGGACACUCUAGAUCUAAACCGUAACAGUGGCCACUUAUGCAAAAUGACCAGCUGGUUAAUGUUCCUUGGCGCCUGUCUCACUCCACUCCCUCAGUGUCUCGAGGUCCGCAGCGUGGUUUGGAGACACCGUGGAGUCCCAGCAAGGAGAAUGAGCUUGCUCAGGACCACAAAGGUUCCAAGCUGUGGGGCAUGAAGUGAGUCAUUAAGGAUUGCUGCAGCCUGUGACAGGAAGUGUUACUGUCCCCAUUUUGCAGAUGAGGAAACUGAGGCUCAGAGAAGUCUGAAGGACUCCUGUCCCUUCCUCCUGGGGUCACAACGGAGUAAUUCCUGCACCUGCCUCCAGGGGGAGCUCUGAGGAGAAAGUGCAGCCAACAGCAGGGCUGAGUUGUGGCUUCUGUACACCAGGGUGGUCACCCUGCCUCCCUGGGCCGCUUUCCAAGCCUUCCAGUGGGCCGCUCCCUCUUCUCCCAGACCCUCCUCGGCCGUCACUCAGCUCCGCCCUCUGCUCCUUCCCGUCGUGGACUAAGCAUAACCAAGCCAUUCUUUGAUGCACUGAGAGCUUCGGGCUCCCCCAGGACAGGAACUAUGUUCACGGGCUUAUUCUGUGUUGCAAACUCCUCUGAACAUUUGACCUGUAUAACGCUUGCAAUUCUGUUAACAGCGCUAUUGUUCCCAUUUUACGGAUGUCCCCGAGAGAGGUAAAGUGUCUCUCUCAGGUACACCCAGCUAGCAGGUGUCCACCUGACCUUUGAAUUUAUAC